AAGUAAUUUAGUUUCCUUUUGCUUUCCCCUUUCACACUCAACUAGUAAGCUAUGGGGAUGACUGACUAUAUAUUACUAGAUGAAUCAACAUAAGGAGAACUAAUAUUAUCAAAAUUAAUGUCUAUUUAAGGAUUGUCAAGCUAUGGUGGCUUAGCUUGAACAUCAGUUUCAAUUGGAUAGACUUUCUACUCCUAGAUUAUGGUAUUAUUGUUAGGUUUUACUUGUAAUGUCCCUUUACUUUUGAUUACUUGUUACGACAUGAUGACCUUUUUCUCAGCUCGUGUUUUAUCAUUUAUUACAACUAAUGAUGGGCUCAAUGCAAGCUUUGUCCAUAGUGAUUAAGAAGGCAUCAGCCAAUAAUUUUACUGAUUCUGCUGUUCUUCACCUCUUGCAAAGCUAGGUAUGAGUUACAUAGCCACUAUCAUUUAAAAAGGCUAAUAUCAACAGCUUUAUCAGUUGCUUAGUAUUCGUAUUUGUUGAAAAAAUGUUUCCUUCUCCUGGCGAAGGCCAUGGCUGGUGACCAUGCAGUCAGGUUGCUGUUGGAAAAUAUGACACAAUGCACAAGAACGACAUAUCUUGGAAUGUCAGAGAGGUUAAUGCCAUAUCAAUUACAAUGUUAUGCACAAGAAGCCCUCGCUCGCUCACGAACCUUUGUCAAUUGUGGCUGGCUUCCAAAUAUGCAUACUGGUGUUCUGUAGUAUGGCUGAAUGGUCAUAAUAUCAAAUUUAGCUUAUGUGAACAUUACGAAAAGUUUAAACCCUCUUAUUUUCAUCUUCAU
Molecule: long non-coding RNA, 778 nt
Filed under: Olea europaea subsp. europaea
Lineage: Eukaryota; Viridiplantae; Streptophyta; Magnoliopsida; Lamiales; Oleaceae
Source: RNAcentral